UGCAAAAGGCGAGCUGACUAUAGAAAGUGGGGGAGUGAGUGAGCGAGGCUGAGUCCCAGCGUGAGGUGAUAACAGCAACAUGACCACCAUCACAGUGCAAGUAAAUAGCUUCAGCUUUUCACCCGUUUCCAUCUCAAACAAAGGGCUGGCCUUAAACAAAGAACUCCUCAGUUCACGAGGGAGAAGACGCGACCAUGACAACGAAUUUCUCUGAAAGCAGCACAGACUCUUCCAGACGUGCAAACGGAUCGAGAUUAAAGCACCAGCAGUUGUGAUCACAGACAGGGCGAUUCGACUUUUGUUUGUGCUAAGACGAAGGCGCUUAUAAUAUUACGUUCAAUCAAGAAGACAACCCCAUAAGCUGCACAC
Molecule: long non-coding RNA, 369 nt
Organism: Zootermopsis nevadensis
Lineage: Eukaryota; Metazoa; Arthropoda; Insecta; Blattodea; Termopsidae
Source: RefSeq, a predicted model, not a curated record